Molecule: unclassified non-coding RNA, 480 nt
Filed under: Colletotrichum gloeosporioides
Lineage: Eukaryota; Fungi; Ascomycota; Sordariomycetes; Glomerellales; Glomerellaceae
Description: sequence contains 18S rRNA gene, ITS1, 5.8S rRNA gene, ITS2 and 28S rRNA gene
Source: RNAcentral
GCUACUACGCAAAGGAGGCUCCGAGAGGGCCGCCACUACCUUUGAGGGCCUACAUCAGCUGUAGGGCCCCAACACCAAGCAGAGUUUGAGGGUUGAAAUGACGCUCGAACAGGCAUGCCCGACAGAAUGCUGGCGGCCGAAAUGUGCGGUCAAAGAUUCGAUGAUUCACUGAAUUCUGCAAUUCACAUUACUUAUCGCAUUUCGCUGCUUUCUUCAUCGAUGCCAGAACCGAGAGAUCCGUUGUUAAAAGUUUUGAUUAUUUGCGUGCACCACUCAGAAGAAGGGCCUUAAAAUCAGAGUGUGGAUUAUCCUCCGGGGGCCCCCUUCCCCGGCCGGUUUCCGGCGCCCAAUGUGUUCCCGGGGGGCCCUUCUCCCCCCAAACCCCCCUAUAUUGCAAUGUUCGACAUCGGUUUAGGGGCGGAAAACCCCGGUGAAUUCCUAACAUGAGAUUAAGCUGGGAAAAUGAUUACGAACUCGCUU